Molecule: transfer RNA, 69 nt
Filed under: Rattus norvegicus (Norway rat)
Lineage: Eukaryota; Metazoa; Chordata; Mammalia; Rodentia; Muridae
Rfam family: tRNA
About the family: Transfer RNA (tRNA) molecules are approximately 80 nucleotides in length. Their secondary structure includes four short double-helical elements and three loops (D, anti-codon, and T loops).
Source: Rfam by way of RNAcentral
GGGGCUUUGGCUCAGUGGUAGAGCGCUUGCCUAGCAAGCACAAGGCCCUGGGUUCAGUCCCCAGCUCCG